UACAGAGACUGCAAGCGUUGUUCGGAUUCAUUGGGCGUAAAGGGUGCGCAGGCGGCUCGUUAAGUCGGAUGUGAAAUCUCACAGCCUAACUGUGAUAGGUCAUUCGAAACUAGCGGGCUUGAGGACUGGAGAGGAGACUGGAAUAGUCGGUGGAGCGGUGAGAUGCGGAGAGAUCGACUAGAACACCGGUGGCGAAGGCGAGUCUCUGGGCAGUUCCUGACGCUCAGGCACGAAAGCCAGGGGAGCAAACGGG
This 253-nucleotide ribosomal RNA is filed under the name uncultured bacterium. Its description in RNAcentral is "partial 16S ribosomal RNA". It matches the Rfam family "Bacterial small subunit ribosomal RNA", at positions 524 to 776 of the family's 1533-position model. The record is from RNAcentral.